GGGCUGGUAGUUCAGCGGUAGAACGCUUCCCUCACACGGAAGAAGUCACAGGUUCGAAUCCUGUCCAGCCCACCA
Molecule: transfer RNA, 75 nt
Filed under: Caldisericia bacterium
Lineage: Bacteria; Pseudomonadati; Caldisericota; Caldisericia
Description: tRNA-Val
Rfam family: tRNA
About the family: Transfer RNA (tRNA) molecules are approximately 80 nucleotides in length. Their secondary structure includes four short double-helical elements and three loops (D, anti-codon, and T loops).
Source: RNAcentral